AUUGAACGCUGGCGGCAUGCCUUACACAUGCAAGUCGAACGGCAGCACGGGUGCUUGCCCCUGGUGGCGAGUGGCGAACGGGUGAGUAAUACAUCGGAACAUGUCCUGUAGUGGGGGAUAGCCCGGCGAAAGCCGGAUUAAUACCGCAUACGAUCUACGGAUGAAAGCGGGGGACCUUCGGGCCUCGCGCUAUAGGGUUGGCCGAUGGCUGAUUAGCUAGUUGGUGGGGUAAAGGCCUACCAAGGCGACGAUCAGUAGCUGGUCUGAGAGGACGACCAGCCACACUGGGACUGAGACACGGCCCAGACUCCUACGGGAGGCAGCAGUGGGGAAUUUUGGACAAUGGGCGAAAGCCUGAUCCAGCAAUGCCGCGUGUGUGAAGAAGGCCUUCGGGUUGUAAAGCACUUUUGUCCGGAUAGAAAUCCUUGGCCCUAAUACGGUCGGGGGAUGACGGUACCGGAAGAAUAAGCACCGGCUAACUACGUG
Molecule: ribosomal RNA, 486 nt
Filed under: uncultured bacterium
Lineage: Bacteria
Description: partial 16S ribosomal RNA
Rfam family: Bacterial small subunit ribosomal RNA
Source: RNAcentral